UAACAAGGAUUCCCCUAGUAACUGCGAGUGAAGCGGGAAAAGCUCAAAUUUAAAAUCUGGCGGUCUUUGGCCGUCCGAGUUGUAGUCUGGAGAAGUGCUUUCCGCGCUGGACCGUGUACAAGUCUCUUGGAACAGAGCGUCAUAGAGGGUGAGAAUCCCGUCUUUGACACGGACUACCAGUGCUUUGUGAUGCGCUCUCAAAGAGUCGAGUUGUUUGGGAAUGCAGCUCAAAAUGGGUGGUGAAUUCCAUCUAAAGCUAAAUAUUGGCGAGAGACCGAUAGCGAACAAGUACCGUGAGGGAAAGAUGAAAAGCACUUUGGAAAGAGAGUUAAACAGUACGUGAAAUUGCUGAAAGGGAAACGCUUGAAGUCAGUCGCGUUGUCCAGAACUCAGCCUUGCUUCGGCUUGGUGCAUUUUCUGGGCGACGGGCCAGCAUCGAUUUUGACCGUCGGAAAAGGGUUGAAGGAAUGUGGCACCUUCGGGUGUGUUAUAGCCUUCAGCCGCAUACGACGGUUGGGAUCGAGGAACGCAGCGCGCCUUAUGGCUGGGGUUCGCCCACAUUCGCGCUUAGGAUGCUGGCAUAAUGGCUUUAAACGAC
RNAcentral lists this ribosomal RNA (598 nucleotides) under Lenzites betulinus. Its description in RNAcentral is "eukaryotic LSU rRNA". It matches the Rfam family "Eukaryotic large subunit ribosomal RNA", at positions 66 to 648 of the family's 3401-position model. Lineage: Eukaryota; Fungi; Basidiomycota; Agaricomycetes; Polyporales; Polyporaceae. The record is from RNAcentral.